Molecule: ribosomal RNA, 465 nt
Filed under: uncultured bacterium
Lineage: Bacteria
Description: partial 16S ribosomal RNA
Rfam family: Bacterial small subunit ribosomal RNA
Source: RNAcentral
GACGAACGCUGGCGGCGUGCUUAACACAUGCAAGUCGAACGGAAAGGCCCUGCUUUUGGGGUACUCGCGUGGCGAACGGGUGAGUGACACACGGGUGAUCCGCCCUCCUCUCCGUGAUAUACCUUCGAGACAGGGUGUAAUAUAGGAUAGAGGCCAUCUUUAGGCUGAUGGUUGGAUAGUUAUUUCCGGGUGGGAUGAGCUCGCGGGCUGACUGCUUGGUGGUGGGGUAAGGGCCUACCAAGGCGGCGUCGGGUAGCCGGCCUGCGGGGGUGGACGGCCACCUUGGGGCCGAGGUACGGCCCAGGCUCCUACGGGAGGGCACAGUGGGGAAUAUUGCACAAUGGGCGCAAGGCUGGUGGAGCGACGCCGCGUGGCGGAUGACGGCCUUCGGGUUGUAAACCCCUUUCGCUAGGGACGAAGCUUUUUGUGACGGUACCUAGUUAAGAAGCACCGGCUAACUACGUG